Molecule: ribosomal RNA, 498 nt
Filed under: uncultured bacterium
Lineage: Bacteria
Description: partial 16S ribosomal RNA
Rfam family: Bacterial small subunit ribosomal RNA
Source: RNAcentral
GAUGAACGCUAGCUACAGGCUUAACACAUGCAAGUCGAGGGGUAGCAGGGUAGCAAUACCGCUGACGACCGGCGCACGGGUGAGUAACACGUAUCCAACCUUCCCAUAACUCGGGGAUAGCCUUUCGAAAGAAAGAUUAAUACCCGAUAGUACUUAUAUAGGGCAUCCUACAUAAGUUAAAGAUUUAUUGGUUAUGGAUGGGGAUGCGUUCCAUUAGAUAGUUGGUGAGGUAACGGCUCACCAAGUCUUCGAUGGAUAGGGGUUCUGAGAGGAAGGUCCCCCACAUUGGUACUGGGACACGGACCAAACUCCUACGGGAGGCAGCCGUGAGGAAUAUUGGUCAAUGGGCGAGAGCCUGAACCAGCCAAGUAGCGUGAAGGAUGAAGGUCCUAUGGAUUGUAAACUUCUUUUAUAGUAGAAUAAAGUGAUCCACGUGUGGAUUUUUGUAUGUAUACUAUGAAUAAGGAUCGGCUAACUCCGUGCCAGCCGCCGCCGUAA